Long non-coding RNA from Gasterosteus aculeatus aculeatus (three-spined stickleback), 4343 nucleotides. Lineage: Eukaryota; Metazoa; Chordata; Actinopteri; Perciformes; Gasterosteidae. The record is from Ensembl.
UAAACUAAUAUAUUAGUUUAAACUUUAGACUUUAGAAACUUUAGAUAUUUUUUUCUCAGCCUCUCUGAGCAGCAGAAUAUUGCAGCUCUUGUUGUCUAAUUUUAGCAACUUUGAUGAACGUAAGGGUUGGAAAGAUAGAUAUACCUACCCGUGUAUAUAUAUAUAUGUGCUGCAUAUAAACCCACCCGUAUGUGGGGGAGGUGUAGUUGCUCGCUGUCUUUGCGCUGGUGGACAGAAGUGCCGGCGCAGCGAUCAGUGUGAGAUCACACGACGCUUGGUGAGAUAUGUGAAGAGGGACGAGCACACGUACUUAGGAGGGAAUCUGGUCAUUUUUCAAAAUAAAACAUUUUACAGAAGAAGAGAGUUGAAUGGCAAAAGUAUAUAUAUAUAUAUAUAUAUAUAUUGUUUGUUGUAUAUUGUUUGUUGUCCAGUAGCGGUCUGUGGGACCGCUGAUCGAGGGGGUUUCAUCCGUCCACGCCAUGGAGGUACAGUGGAUGGAUGCACUGUUGUUUGAGAAGCAACAGUCAGCCGGUAUUUAUUUUUAUUUCACACAUGUUUGCUAAGAUGAACGUGUGAGUCGGAGUAAAGUCUCUUGUAGAGCUGGAGGGAAGGUCGGGGUCAUCAAUAUUCAUUUCCACGACGAACACCUCACAGCGGAAUGAUCCAGAGUCCCAGUGAUCCGGCUGCAGGUGUUCUCUACCUGCGUGUGUGUGUGUGUGUCUGUGUGUGUGUGUGUGUGUGUGUGUGUGUGUGUGUGUGUGUGUGUGUGUGUGUGUCUGUGUGUGUGUGUGUGUCUGUGUGUGUCUGUGUGUGUGUGUGUGUGUGUGUGUGUGUGUGUGUAGUAUGAACUGUAGGUGUGUCCUCAGCGUGUCUGUUAGCAAAUAGUUUGCCUGGAGGAAAUCUCCUGAAAUAAACGAUUUUACUGCAGAUGCUGGAGGCCUCCACUCCCCUUCCUCCCCCUCCUCCUCCCCCGGUAGCCGUAUGUCGGUAUACAUGUUUACUGUCCCUCCGACGUCCAGUCACAUUUAUUUGGUGCGAUUGUUGACAUGAUUCAAGAAGCAGCCCAGAAUAUCUAGAAGGGAGGUGUUUUGUUGAGGUGGUCAUUAUCCAACAGUCAGAAAAUCUGCUGCUUGCUAUUUCUUUUGAGACGGAGAACCUAUUGAGGAGGAAAAUGUACAAAACAAAGCAUUUAAUGAUGUCCGCUGGAAGUGAUAUAGAUAUUGUUUCAUCAUCGUCUCACAUUUUGUGGACAAAUUGAUCAGUGGAGAAAAGAGUUGUCAGAUUAGUCAAUGCUCGUGGUUUGAAUAAAAAUGAUUACAGACAGUUUUAUAGCUUGAAAUUUAGGAUGAUAAAAAGUCCCUUGAUGUUAUAAAUAAGGACCAUUCGUGCAGCUUCGGUCGGUAUUUGUUGGGGUGACAUUAUGGACUCUCCUCUUCCUCUUUUGAUUGACAGGCAGUGACAUCGAGAGCAGGAAGGAAGCCGGAUAUUCUCCAGAUUCCAUAAAUUGGCAAUUAGCUUUAAUGAGCACUUUAACUUUAAUGAGAAGCUCGCAGAGCUCCUCUCUUCCAUUCGGUUCUUUUCAUGCGUGUGACGAACUCCACCGGACUCAACCCCCCCCACGCCCCCCACCUGCACAGCACGCUGUCCAGCUACUUGAGGUGUGUCGUUUGAAGACACCUCGACGUGGAGUGGACAGAAGGACCUGGGGAUCAAACCACCAACCCUGUGACAUGCAGGCCGGUCAGACUGAACACUGUUGGCUGAACCUCCCCAACAGAGCACCGAAACAAAGCUGAUACGCUCCACACAAAUCUUCCUCCUCCUUAUUUUACUCCUUUAUUUCUUGUUUCCUCUCAAUGUCAUUCCAUCUUAUUAUAAUGAAGCUCUGAUUCUGUACAGCCAGAAGCAUCUGAGCGGUGAGGAACCUCAGCCCACAGCGACGGCCUCUAUUAGGUUACCAGUGGAGCCCGGGAGGGAUGGAGGGACGCUAGGAUGGAGGAAUGGAGGGAUGGAGGGAUGGAGGGACGCUAGGAUGGGAGGAAUGAGGGGAUGGAAGGACGCUAGGAUAGAGGGACGGUAGGGAUAAAGCAAGGGAGGGACGAUAGGAUAGAGGGAUGGAGGGACGGUAGGAUGGAGGGACAGAGGGACGGGGUGGAGCGGGGGUGGAAAGCAUGAGCUGAGAUCGUUAGUUGGAGCAGAAACGCUGGCCUUGUUGACGUCAUGGAGGACAGAUGUGCUAAUGUUUCCAUGAUGAUCUUGAUAAAUUAAAACCUCUUCUACAGACCAAAAUGUUUGUGAAUAAAGAUAAUUUAUUAUUGCUUUUACCUCAUGUCUCCCGGUUUUAGCCGUGCUGAAUAAAGAAUAAAUGGAUUCAGGAUUGAAACUAUGGUUGAAAAGACGAAGCUAUUAAGACAUCAGAGAUCCUGACAGAGGACAAUGAAACAAUUUUCAGUUUAGUAAAAUACAGCCGGGCAAAGGCUAAUGUAGCAUAGAAAAGCUAUCACUAGCUAAUGAUGUGCUAACGUUUAUCUGGGACCAGGGAAAAUAACGUAUGCAUUUAAACUGGUGCGUACGCAGUGACGUGGAGGACGUGUAAUAUUUCCAUUGGGCGUACAGAACAUAUUCUAACAGUCGGAUCGUAAAACCACAGACCUGGUUCUCAGCGUUCUCACUGCGUCGAUUACCACGCCGUGAUCACUCGGAUGUGAGAGGGACAGCUCACCAGGGGGCUCAGAACACUAAUGAGAAUGAUGUGAGACCACCUACAGUACGGGGUGCCAGCUUUUGAAAUCCACAGGAAACCAGGAUAUGUGAUUAUGAAACAAACAUGUUUUCUUCUGAUCAACAGGAAGCCUGAUUGUUAUAUUCAUUCAUUCCUCCGAGCCGUUGAGCUCAACUGUUUCCCAUGAACUAUAUUAAAAUCGAUGGAGUGAAUCGGGAACAUUUGCUUUGCGUGCUAAUUUUCAUUGAUUUAUUUAUUCUGUUAAAGGAAGGAUAACUAGUGGUUUGGGCUGAUAGAAAUGAAUUAAAUUGUAAUCAUUUCAAUGAUCUCGUCUUCUGUAGUAAAAAUAGCAAACCUUAUUUUCACUUCUCUUAGAAUUACAGUCUCAUCUUCCAAGAAUAUGGAGGCGAGAUUCUUUAAUGUUUUGGAAGUUGUUCCACAGAGGUUUCUGUGAAGGUCUCCUCUCUCACUGUAGGAGAAGGACGAGAUGUUUCAUUACACAUUCUCCCUUCUGAGGGAAUAUGGAUCCCUCUCAUCUCCUUAAAGAGUCAUACAUUACAUAUGAGGCAUGCUAGAGGAGUGGGGUUUCAUACCAACCGUGAUUUAAAGCAGCUAAACUAGGCCAUCAGAUAUGAAAACCGAUAUUCAUAAAGCCUAAUAUUGGUCCUUGCAUGUGUGUCUUUCUUCCAACCGAGCGAUAACAGGUUCCUUCCUCACCAUGAACACAGCGUGUCUGAAGCCACAAAGCAGCUCCUCCUGAAGAAGAACUCUGUUCCCUCCCAUAUCCUCUACUGAUGAGACCACCUGAGGCAGCACAUCAGAUGGUCCAAGGAACCCAGGAGAAGGUGGUGUGGACUUCAGGGGGCGUAGUCACAAACACGCCGUAGAUUGUCACUAUUUCUGGCUCCUAACAUCUGAACACUGUGAUGAACCAUUGAAUGAGCUGCUUUCAAACCUCAGAAACUCCUUUAAACCUUCCAGCAGCUGGAGGUCAAUUGACGCUCUGCAGUUCUUCUCACAGAACAAGAUGUUUCUUGUUGUGAAAGUUAGAACCAAACUCCUAUAAAUUGGGUUUGAGUUUGCAGUUUGUCCAAUCGGGAGGGAGAGCGAACACAGACGUCUGAGUAAAGGAGAGAGCUGUCAAUCAUUUCAGGUCUACCCCUAAUGAUGUCCGUCCUCAGCAGAAAAUGUCUCCCGGACGGCGGCGGAAUGAAGAGUUCUUGUGGAGAUAUUUGGGAUGGAUUCGUGUUUUCCUGCAGCGCGAGUAUGAAGCAGCAGCCGCAUGACAGAACAGCGAGACAUAAACACAUUAGUAUACUGCUGCAUAUUGUAAUGUGUCCCUGACAUUUCCUCCCAAUUAUUCACUAAUGCUGCAUCCACAGCAAUGUCCCCGCAUUUAUCACUGGAAAUUGAUGCAAUUUAUAUUCAUCCAGCACAAUGACACAAUACGCAGUAUGGAACGGAUCCCCUACUUCAACAGGAAGCCACGGAGUGUGAAUGGAAAUGGUGAGAUAAGAUAUUUAACAGCUGCAGCAGCAACAGGAACUGAAGAUUUAGAGGCUUUAAGGACAAAUCCAGCCUGGAUUCUUCUUCUGCUCGUUGCUCUUCUGGCUUCCACGCG